GAGGGUAUAGCUCAAUGGUAGAGCGCAUGCUUAGCAUUCACAAGGUCUUGGGUUCAAUCCCAGUACCUCCA
Molecule: transfer RNA, 71 nt
Filed under: Camelus bactrianus (Bactrian camel)
Lineage: Eukaryota; Metazoa; Chordata; Mammalia; Artiodactyla; Camelidae
Also listed under: 2 other names
Rfam family: tRNA
About the family: Transfer RNA (tRNA) molecules are approximately 80 nucleotides in length.
Source: Rfam by way of RNAcentral